GGAGAUUUACUGAUAUAAUUUAUUUUAUUCUUACGUAAAAAGGAAUUUCAAAUAAAUUAUGCUUAGCUAUUGAAAAUAGGGACUAUAAUAUUAUAUUGAUUUAAACAUGAAUAUCUAACCAAUCUUUAGCACCAUUUUAGAUUUACUGAUUGCAUAUAGCACUAAAGAUGCUAAAGCGGAUCAACCUAUCAACUACAAACUUGCCUUGAACCGUAUGAAGUAACCAAAGCUGAUUUCCAACACUAAACCUGACAUAACCGCUUGUCUUGGGGCUUGGUAUACAUGGGAUCGGAUUCUUCAGACAGGUCUGGAAGGUAACGCCUGGUUUAGAUUAUUUAUCACAUUUUCUCUCUCUAGAUUUCGACCCUAGAUUAGUUAGUGAUUAUAUUGAAAAAAAAAAUAAUAAUAAAAAAAUAAAUAAGAUCUAUUGGUUAAUUAUGAUGAGUCUGAACAGGACUUGGUGGCUAAAACCAUUAAGGCUUGAUUCAUAAAGACUCAAAUAAAAGAGUUCGAAACGGGACUUGGAGGCGGCAAUCUUCAAGGCUCGCUUUCGCAAAGAACUCUUGGAUAUAGGUCAAAAAGAAGUGAACAUAACUUGGUGGCAACCACCAUUACGUUUUGAUUCAAGGAAGCCUGUCCAAUCUUGGUCACUGAUCCUGCAAUGGAAGCAGACUUUGACUCGAGAGAGAAAUUUAGAGAGAGAGAGAGAAACUAGGAACUAACUUUUACCUGCAGCUCCAGAUACUUGUCUGAAAUCCUUG
RNAcentral lists this long non-coding RNA (761 nucleotides) under Brassica rapa (field mustard). Its description in RNAcentral is "long non-coding RNA (BRAP_LNC004983)". The record is from RNAcentral. Lineage: Eukaryota; Viridiplantae; Streptophyta; Magnoliopsida; Brassicales; Brassicaceae.